GACGAACGCUGGCGGCGCGCCUAACACAUGCGAGUCGAACGAGCGAGAGAGAGCUUGCUUUCUCGAGCGAGUGGCGAACGGGUGAGUAACGCGUGAGGAACCUGCCUCAAAGAGGGGGACAACAGUUGGAAACGACUGCUAAUACCGCAUAAGCCCACGACCCGGCAUCGGGUAGAGGGAAAAGGAGCAAUCCGCUUUGAGGUGGCCUCGCGUCCGAUUAGCUAGUUGGUGAGGUAACGGCCCACCAAGGCGACGAUCGGUAGCCGGACUGAGAGGUUGAACGGCCACAUUGGGACUGAGACACGGCCCAGACUCCUACGGGAGGCAGCAGUGGGGAAUAUUGCACAAUGGGGGAAACCCUGAUGCAGCGACGCCGCGUGGAGGAAGAAGGUCUUCGGAUUGUAAACUCCUGUUGUGGAGGAAGAUAAUGACGGUACUCAACAAGGAAGUGACGGCUAACUACGUG
Molecule: ribosomal RNA, 466 nt
Filed under: uncultured bacterium
Lineage: Bacteria
Description: partial 16S ribosomal RNA
Rfam family: Bacterial small subunit ribosomal RNA
Source: RNAcentral